GGAAAGUUUGUUGCUAUUUGCAGCAGCAAACAGCUAAGAAAUCAAAGGCAACAAUUCAUAACACAGAUCAGCAAAAGUUCCAGGCAGAAGUGAAUGGAAGAAAUUAUGCUCUUGUUACCUACAUUCCUACAUUUGGAGCUGCUGCAUCCCAGCAGAAAGAGUUGCUACUGCCACCUCCAUCAUGCUCAAGCACCUCUAAAACCUGUUAUGAGGCUGUGUCCUGUACCAGGGCACUGCAAGUUAGCCUGAGCUGUUGUUGGUGGUGAGAAAUGUACCCUGCAGAGGCAGCAAAGCACAGGAUAUCAACCAUAGAUGUGCUGAAACCACAGAGCUCCAGCCUGGGAUCUCUGACUUGUAAUCAGAUGGGUGAGGUUUGGGUUAAAUAAAAUACA
Long non-coding RNA from Onychostruthus taczanowskii (white-rumped snowfinch), 392 nucleotides. RefSeq lists it as uncharacterized. The transcript has 4 exons. Lineage: Eukaryota; Metazoa; Chordata; Aves; Passeriformes; Passeridae. The record is from RefSeq and is a predicted model, not a curated record.